GAAAUAAGUUUUUUCGAUAAAUUUGCGAAUUUUAGUUUUCUUAAUGCUACGAUUUUGAAAGAAAAUGACUUUCUAUUUUAUAAUCGGGAAAGUCAUUUUUCCUGGAUACUUAUUUAAUUAUCAUCUUUUUGACACAUUUUCUAAUCCUUUAACUUUUUCUUUUCUUUUUUCACUUAAUUUUUUACAAUAAAUUUCAUCCAUACAUAUGCAUCAGCUGAGAUUCAAUAAACUCAUAUAAUCCAUGGAUGUUCAAAAUAUAGAAAUUUAAUUGAAAUGAAUAGGCUCCUAGCUACUGCCAUUAUAAUUAUUGCAAGUUAUGAUAGCAGAGAAACUUUAAGACGAGACUAGCUAUAUAAUUAUAUGCUAUAAUGGAAAAUGAAGACUAAUUUCCUGGAGAGGUUCCCACUUGGGCAGUUUGUGCCGACACCUUUUUUUAUCCCAAACUGAUGUUUUUUGCUUAGUUCCAUAAAUAUUAUAUAUUGGGAAUUUCAUGAUCGAUAGAUAUGAUGAGUUUUCCAAAACAUUAAUUGCUUACCAAAUUGAAACUAUAAGGCCUUUCUUCUUUGCAUAACUAAGAACAUAUA
This 584-nucleotide unclassified non-coding RNA is filed under the name Hevea brasiliensis (rubber tree). Lineage: Eukaryota; Viridiplantae; Streptophyta; Magnoliopsida; Malpighiales; Euphorbiaceae. The record is from RNAcentral.